AACAACUCUGUCGGUUGGUGUUCAUGAGUGUGAGCUUAAUACAGCAAUGUUUGAGUAGUACAAAAAUGUUUUCGCUUUUGUGGUCGCCAGCUGUCCGUGAUCUGUAAAGUGAAAAUACACAGAGCUAUGAAGCAUACAAAUGUUUCGAAAUUUUAUCAAUGAUUGUAUACUAUGCAUGUUUUGAUUUAGUUCGUUUCAGAUUUGACAUGAGAUGAAAACCUGACAUGAUUUGAACAGAGCUGGGAAACGAAAAGGUAAGUCUGUUUCAUUCCACUAUGAACACUUGUAUUUUGACAAAAGAAGAGAUAAAGUGAGUUACUUUAUCAUCAUGGUUUCAUUUGGUGUAUUACACAUGAACAGAGGUAAACCUAGCUAGCUUUUCGUGUACUCUAUUUUGGAUGAUGAGUAUGUCAGUAACUUUAAUUGUACGGCUAGUAAAGUAUGAACAUGAAUGCUUUGUUCAGAUUUUCAGAUGUGUGCUGGCAGUUCAAGUCUGGCAGCUGGAGUGAACAGUCGUGUUUUCUGGAGCUCCAACAAUAUGCUAGAAGGUAAGUAACUAUGUUUGUUUUGCAUUGCAUGUUUUUAUAUGUUUCAGACUUUCAAGCAGAGAUGUCAUGCUGACUGGAGUUGAGCACAGGGCAGUGACAAAGUGAAAGGUAAGUACUUUUGACUGAAUGUUUGUUCUAUGCAUGUUUUGUUUUAAUACAUUUCAGGAGUGCUUAUCCAGUGAUGAUAUGACAGUUGGAGUGAACAGUGGAGCCAAGCAGUCUUGUUUUUGGAGCUACUCAACAAGCCUUGAAGGUAAGUUUAGAAUUUCUCAAUGUUAGUGAAUUGAAGUACUGUCACUUGCUUUUGGACAGUCGAACAGAACAGACGUGGUUGCGAGAGCUCUCAUAUCUGUUGUGUUAAACUGUUUUUAUGAUAUGUUAUGUUUGUUUGUUUGUUUGUGAUGUACUAUUUUUCAGAUGCUGAUGGCAGUGAUGGGUUUUCAAGCUGACCUGAACAGAAAAGCACUCAUAUUGUAAGUACAAAAUAGUUGUUAUAUGGGAUGUUUUGUGCAUGCUUUUAUGUUUCAGGUGUACUUGCUGACAGCGACGAAGACGAAUCAAGAAGAGGAACAUUGUUGAGAAAGUGAUUGGGACUUGCAAACAGGGUAAGUGUAACACUUGUGUUUGUUUAAUUUGUAACAUGCGUGCUUUGCUCUGUUUCAGAUUUCACAUGCAGAAAUUAAACAGGAUUUCAACUGCUGAGACACAAUUCAUCAAAAGUAAGGUAAGUUUUAAUUCAUUGAUUUGAGUUGUACAAUGUGUUCUUUACUUUAUUUCAGAUUCGAGUCACUGGUUUACACAUGGAAGAAGAUUUCCACGUCUGUUACUCAACUCUACAGAAGCAAGAUGUUUUGUUUCAGUUGAUGUCCAGAUGGCAAGCAGUACAGACGUGUUUCUUGGAGCUGCCAAACAGUGUACUUGUAGUCAGCGACGAAGACGAUUCAAGAAGAGGAACAUUGCUGAGAAAGUGAAUGGGACUUGCAAACAGGAUUCAAGUUCCUGGUGUAGACAGAGAAAUGUGUUUGAAGAAGGAAUUCUACUACUGUGAUUCAACUCUACAGAAGCAAGACUUACAUUGCUGUGACUGUUCCACAGUGGGUCAAAAAAGAGACGAAUACAGGUUUCAAGAAGAAAAUUGGCUGUUGAAAACCUGCACAAAAUAUGAGGUAAGUAAACUAUUCUUUUGGUUUGUUUUGUGCUUUGUUAUGCUUAACUAUUUUUCAGAUUGGAAUGGUGGGUCGUUACAGAGCAGACUUUUGGACAACUGAGAAGUUGAGAAACAGAGAAUGAUUCAAGAUCAGCUAGGUAAGUCUUGAUUAUUGUGCAUUGCUAAAUGUUUUUUUUCAUUCCAGUAUGGCUGUGGUAAGUACACAAACUUUCUAUAAUUUAAUAUUGAACUGUUUUUAUGACCUGUAUUCUGCAUUGUAAAAUGUCUGUUUUUCAUUUCAGUAUCCUGUGGUAAGUACACUAACUUUCUUUAAUUUUCAUAUUGAACUGUUUUGAUGACUUGUAUACUACUAUGCAAUGCCUAAUGUUUUUUUCAUUUCAGUAGCCUGUUGGUAAGUACACUAACUUUCUAUAAUUUCAUAGUGAAUUGUUUUGAUGACCUGUAUUCUGCAUUGUAAAAUGUGUUUCUUUUUUAUUUCAGUAUGGCUGUGGUAAGUACAAUUGCCUUUCAUAUUGAACUGUUUUGAUGACCUGUAUUUUGCAUUGUAAAAUGUGUUUCUUUUUCAUUUCAGUAUGGCUGUGGUAAGUACACAAACUUUCUUUAAUUUUCAUAUUGAACUGUUUUGAUGACUUGUAUUCUACUAUGCAAUGCUUAAUGUAUUUUUUUCAGUAGCCUGUUGGUAAGUACAAUUGCCUUCUUUAAUUUUCAUAUUGAACUGUUUUGAUGAUGUGUAUACUGCUAUGCAAUGCUUAAUGUUUUUUUCAUUUCAGUAUGGCUGUGGUAAGUACACAUACUUUCUAUAAUUUCAUAUUGAACUGUUUUGAUGACUUGUAUUCUGCUAUACAAAAUGUGCUUUUUUCAAUUUCAGGUCAGCAAUGGUAAGUAUAGUGUGUUUUUUUAUGUAUAAUUUUGUAUACAUAUUGUUUUUUUCAUCAUAGCAUGUCUUUUAUAUUUAUGCUUUGUGUAAGUAAAAUGUUCAUAAAUCAUUCUUAUCUUCAAACUAAAAAUGUAUUGUGCUAUGCAAAAUGUCUGUAUGAUUUCAGUUGCCAGAGGUGAGUACCAUUACAGUUGAAAAGUUAGUUUUGUUUAGUUAAAGUUUUGGUUCACAGUUCUGUUUGUUAUUUGGCAAAAUUUACAUGUAUGCAUUGAGUCUUGAUUUCAGCUCGAUUGUGGACUGAAGAAGAUUGCCCGCAGAGGGAUUGGAUACAAAAUACAAACUUUACUGCUAGACGAGUGUUCUCUACUACUUGACGAGUCAGCUUUACUACCAGGCGAGCAGUGACAACAAGGCGCCUUUGUGGAAACAACACAACAAAAAACUGUACUGCUAGACGAGCAGUGACAGAAAGGCGCCUGAACAUGCAACACAAAACAAAAAAUGCCAAUAUCCAAACCUUGAUGUGGACACCGAGUAGUCAAUACAUACGUGUGGCGUAUAGCUGCGACAAAACCGUGGGUCCAUCGCACCGAUAACUUGAACAUUGGCCCGUGUAUGGACAUCAGUGCAACUUUGUGAAUCCAUGUUACUUUGUGAAUCCAUGUAACAUUGCGAAUGUGUGUCGAUCGAAAAAUGUGUACGUUCUGCACUGAAACGAACUCGGUGUUGCAAGUGGCAAGUGUUGACAGUGUGUAUGUUUAUGUUUAUGUUUUUACAUGAAAACUAAAGGAGAUUGUUCUCCUACCUUUUUUUUCCUUGUUUUAUUGCGCUGGCCAGCAAUAUUGAUGUAUUGAUGUAUGUGUUUGUGUUUAAACUAUGCAAUACCAAAAUCAAACAAAAAAUAAACAUUAACAGUCAUUAACUGUG
Molecule: long non-coding RNA, 3520 nt
Organism: Dreissena polymorpha
Lineage: Eukaryota; Metazoa; Mollusca; Bivalvia; Myida; Dreissenidae
Exons: 8
Source: RefSeq, a predicted model, not a curated record